RNAcentral lists this ribosomal RNA (253 nucleotides) under uncultured bacterium. RNAcentral describes it as "partial 16S ribosomal RNA". It matches the Rfam family "Bacterial small subunit ribosomal RNA", at positions 524 to 776 of the family's 1533-position model. The record is from RNAcentral.
GACGUAGGGCGCGAGCGUUGUCCGGAUUUAUUGGGCGUAAAGAGCUCGUAGGCGGCUUGUCGCGUCGAAUGUGAAAACUCGGGGCUCAACUCCGAGCUUGCAUUCGAUACGGGCAGGCUAGAGUUCGGUAGGGGAGACUGGAAUUCCUGGUGUAGCGGUGAAAUGCGCAGAUAUCAGGAGGAACACCGGUGGCGAAGGCGGGUCUCUGGGCCGAUACUGACGCUGAGGCGCGAAGGCUAGGGGAGCGAACGGG